Gossypium arboreum is the source of this 1096-nucleotide long non-coding RNA. RefSeq lists it as uncharacterized. The record is from RefSeq and is a predicted model, not a curated record. The transcript is spliced from 4 exons. NCBI's taxonomy places the organism in Eukaryota, Viridiplantae, Streptophyta, Magnoliopsida, Malvales, Malvaceae.
AGAGAUUCGUUGCUGUAUUUGGAUGGAAGGUUUAUGGUUUGGGCUGACGACUAGAGUGAAUUGACGAAGAGUUGAGGUCUAUGAUAGAAAUUGAAGACAAGCUUAUGACCACCAUCAAGAAGAAAAGAGUAAAGAAGAAGGCUUGAAGGAGAGGGUGAAAAGGCUAUUCCGAUGUUGAGUAAAGCUUAGAUGUGGAGAAAAGAAUAAGCAAAAAGGCGAAAAGGUUAUUUAAAUUUUAGAAAUUGAUUUUUUGCAGAACAAGAAUUGCGAAGUGUAGUUUAACUAUACUUAUUUAAAGAUUGUGGGAAUUACGUUUUUUGAUGCUUAUUUAAAGUUGAAACAAGCAUAAAACAAUGUAAUUCCCACGAAUCUUUAAAUAGUAUACUUUACCCACAACUUGUCAUUCCCAUCCAGCAAAAAAUCAAUUUCUAAGAUUAAAUAACCUUUUUGCCUUCUUCUCUACUCUUUUCUCCACAUCCAAGCUUUACUUGACACCCAAAUAGUCUUCUUCGCCUUCUUCUCCUUCUUCUCCUUCUUCUUUUAUCUUCUUUUCUUCUUCUAGAAGAAGAUACAGAUGACAUGCACUACAACACUCACUUUUACCGGCAUUUAUAAGCACAGGUGAAAGUUUGGUGCACAAAGGAGGCCAGUGUUAUUAAUAUUGAUAUGAAAGCAAAUAUAUGUUGCGUCUGGAUCUAGCUAUUACAUUGCGAGUCUAAUGGAAUAUGAAGAGCAUGAAAAACGAGCAUGGAGUGUUGAUUUCUCUUGGAUAGAACCAUAGUUGCAAGGAACAGUGACAUAUUCGAUAUCUUAACCAAGUGUUCUUUCUUUGCUUAAACGAUGAAGAGAUAACCAUGCAUUAUGUACACAGAAGAUUUGCAAUUUGUGUUGGUGAGUCUUAAUCUUGUAUAUCAGAUAAAUAGGUCAACGCGUAAAUGAUUUUUAGGUUCUUGACAUGAACAUGUCACAUUUAUUACGUGAGUUACACAGGAUUGCAUGGUUAACACAUUUAACUAGUAAGUCUUGUGCAUCGAUACAGAAGUUAUCUGUGUAAAUAUGUUCAACUUAUUUAAAACGCAUGAUUUACCUGGUUAAA